This 303-nucleotide ribosomal RNA is filed under the name uncultured bacterium. RNAcentral's name for it is "partial 16S ribosomal RNA". It matches the Rfam family "Bacterial small subunit ribosomal RNA", at positions 507 to 807 of the family's 1533-position model. The record is from RNAcentral.
AGCAGUCGCCGCGGUAAUACGUAGGUGGCAAGCGUUGUCCGGAAUUAUUGGGCGUAAAGCGCGCGCAGGUGGUUUAAUAAGUCUGAUGUGAAAGCCCACGGCUCAACCGUGGAGGGUCAUUGGAAACUGUUAAACUUGAGUGCAGGAGAGAAAAGUGGAAUUCCUAGUGUAGCGGUGAAAUGCGUAGAGAUUAGGAGGAACACCAGUGGCGAAGGCGGCUUUUUGGCCUGUAACUGACACUGAGGCGCGAAAGCGUGGGGAGCAAACAGGAUUAGAUACCCCCGUAGUCCCUGUCUCUUAUAC